UCCUUUGGAUGUCUUCCUGUAAGUUAACUAGUGGUGGUUGCCAGCAGAUUGCUCAAGAAUUACCUCAUUUGGUAGUGGAAGUCUUUAAUCAUGAAUUUGAUGAGGACAUGGGUAAUUUUGUUAAUACAUUAUACAUGUAUCGAUCUCUUGAAGGGCCAAGAGAUGAUGCACCGAAGUUUGUUUCCAUCUUGUAGGCAUUUGCACUGCAGGAAGAUGUAUUGUAUGUUAUGCUGGCUGUUGGACAAGCGGCAAGAAUCAUUUUUUGCGGGAAUGUUGAAUUCAGGAAGA
RNAcentral lists this unclassified non-coding RNA (288 nucleotides) under Hevea brasiliensis (rubber tree). The record is from RNAcentral. Lineage: Eukaryota; Viridiplantae; Streptophyta; Magnoliopsida; Malpighiales; Euphorbiaceae.